This 253-nucleotide ribosomal RNA is filed under the name uncultured bacterium. Its description in RNAcentral is "partial 16S ribosomal RNA". It matches the Rfam family "Bacterial small subunit ribosomal RNA", at positions 524 to 776 of the family's 1533-position model. The record is from RNAcentral.
UACAGAGGUCCCAAGCGUUGUUCGGAAUUACUGGGCGUAAAGCGUGCGUAGACGGCUAUCUAAGUCGGGUGUGAAAGCCCCGGGCUCAACCUGGGAAUUGCAUUCGAGACUGAAUAGCUAGGGUACGGUAGAGGGAAGUGGAAUUUCCGGUGUAGCGGUGAAAUGCGUAGAUAUCGGAAGGAACAUCAGUGGCGAAAGCGACUUCCUGGACCAGUACCGACGUUCAGGCACGAAAGCGUGGGGAGCAAACAGG